AUUGAACGCUGGCGGCAGGCCUAACACAUGCAAGUCGAGCGGAUGAAGGGAGCUUGUUCCUGGUUUCAGCGGCGGACGGGGGAGUGAUGCCCAGGUAUCUGACUGUUCGUGGGGGGUGACGUCCGGUAAUGGACGCUAAUACUACAUCCGACCAGAGUUGGAACGUGGGGGAUCUUCGGAUUCCGACCUAUUGGCUGACGCUAGGUCGUGUUAGCUAGUUGGUGGGGUAAAGGCAUACCAAGGCGACGAUCCAUAGCUGGUCUGAGAGGAUGAUCAGCCACACUGGAACUGAGACACGGUCCAGACUCCUACGGGAGGCAGCAGUGGGGAAUAUUGGACAAUGGGCGAAAGCCUGAUGCAGCCAUGCCGCGUGUGUGAAGAAGGUCUUCGGAUUGUAAAGCACUUUAAGUUGGGAGGAAGGGAAGUAAGUUAAUACCUUGCUGUUUUGACGUUACCCACAGAAUAAGCACCGGCUAACUUCGUG
RNAcentral lists this ribosomal RNA (484 nucleotides) under uncultured bacterium. RNAcentral's name for it is "partial 16S ribosomal RNA". It matches the Rfam family "Bacterial small subunit ribosomal RNA", at positions 30 to 507 of the family's 1533-position model. The record is from RNAcentral.